Molecule: ribosomal RNA, 253 nt
Filed under: uncultured bacterium
Lineage: Bacteria
Description: partial 16S ribosomal RNA
Rfam family: Bacterial small subunit ribosomal RNA
Source: RNAcentral
UACGGAGGUCGCAAGCGUUGUUCGGAAUCACUGGGCGUAAAGCGCGUGUAGGCGGCCCGGCAAGUCGGAUGUGAAAUCCCGAGGCUCAACCUCGGAACUGCACUCGAAACUGCCUGGCUCGAGUCCCGGAGAGGGUGGCGGAAUUCCCGGUGUAGGGGUGAAAUCCGUAGAUAUCGGGAGGAACACCAGUGGCGAAGGCGGCCACCUGGACGGUGACUGACGCUGAGACGCGAAAGCGUGGGGAGCAAACAGG